GGGCGUGCCUAAUACAUGCAAGUCGAGCGGACCAAUGAAGAGCUUGCUCUUCGGCGGUUAGCGGCGGAGGGGUGAGUAACACGUAGGCAACCUGCCUGUACGACUGGGAUAACUCCGGGAAACCGGAGCUAAUACCGGAUACUUUUUUCAGACCGCAUGGUCUGAAAGGGAAAGACCUUUGGUCACGUACAGAUGGGCCUGCGGCGCACUAGCUAGUUGGUGGGGUAACGGCCUACCAAGGCGACGAUGCGUAGCCCACCUGAGAGGGUGAUCGGCCACACUGGGACUGAGACACGGCCCAGACUCCUACGGGAGGCAGCAGUAGGGAAUCUUCCGCAAUGGACGAAAGUCUGACGGAGCAACGCCCCGUGAACGAUGAAGGUUUUCGGAUCGUAAAGUUCUGUUGUUAGGGAAAAACCGCCGGGAUGACCUCCCGGUCUGACGGUACCUAACGACAUAGCCCCAGCUAACUACGUGCCUGCAGCCGCGGUAAUACGUAGGGGGCAAGCGUUGUCCGGAAUUAUUGGGCGUUAAGCGCGCGCAGGCGGCUUUUAAGUCAGGUGUGAAAGCCCACGGCUCAACCGUGGAAGGCCACUUGAAACUGGGAAGCUUGAGUGCAGGAGAGGAGAGCGGAAUUCCACGUGUAGCGGUGAAAUGCGUAGAGAUGUGGAGGAUCACCCGUGGCGAAGGCGGCUCUCUGGCCUGUAACGGACGCUGAGGCGCGAAAGCGUCGGGAGCGAACAGGAUUAGAUACCCUGGUAGUCCACGCCGUAAACGUUGAGUGCCAGGUGUUGGGGACUCCAAUCCUCAGUGCCGCAGCUAACGCAAU
This 829-nucleotide ribosomal RNA is filed under the name Aneurinibacillus migulanus. RNAcentral describes it as "bacterial SSU rRNA". It matches the Rfam family "Bacterial small subunit ribosomal RNA", at positions 40 to 861 of the family's 1533-position model. Lineage: Bacteria; Bacillati; Bacillota; Bacilli; Caryophanales; Paenibacillaceae. The record is from RNAcentral.